GUCAAGUCAUCAUGGCCUUUAUGCCCAGGGCUACACACGUGCUACAAUGGGAAGGACAAAGGGCUGCCACUUGGCGACAAGGAGCUAAUCCCAAAAACCUUCUCUCAGUUCAGAUUGCAGUCUGCAACUCGACUGCAUGAAGCUGGAAUCGCUAGUAAUCGUGAAUCAGCGAUGUCACGGUGAAUACGUUCCCGGGUCUU
Molecule: ribosomal RNA, 200 nt
Filed under: uncultured organism
Description: partial small subunit ribosomal RNA
Rfam family: Bacterial small subunit ribosomal RNA
Source: RNAcentral